RNAcentral lists this ribosomal RNA (450 nucleotides) under uncultured bacterium. RNAcentral's name for it is "partial 16S ribosomal RNA". It matches the Rfam family "Bacterial small subunit ribosomal RNA", at positions 354 to 796 of the family's 1533-position model. The record is from RNAcentral.
GUGGGGAAUUUUGGACAAUGGGCGCAAGCCUGAUCCAGCAAUGCCGCGUGCAGGAAGAAGGCCUUCGGGUUGUAAACUGCUUUUGUACGGAACGAAACGGUCCUGGCUAAUACCUGGGGCUAAUGACGGUACCGUAAGAAUAAGCACCGGCUAACUACGUGCCAGCAGCCGCGGUAAUACGUAGGGUGCGAGCGUUAAUCGGAAUUACUGGGCGUAAAGCGUGCGCAGGCGGUGCUGUAAGACAGGCGUGAAAUCCCCGGGCUCAACCUGGGAAUUGCGCUUGUGACUGCAGUGCUGGAGUGCGGCAGAGGGGGAUGGAAUUCCGCGUGUAGCAGUGAAAUGCGUAGAUAUGCGGAGGAACACCGAUGGCGAAGGCAAUCCCCUGGGCCUGCACUGACGCUCAUGCACGAAAGCGUGGGGAGCAAACAGGAUUAGAAACCCCAGUAGUCC